Molecule: long non-coding RNA, 1058 nt
Organism: Artibeus jamaicensis (Jamaican fruit-eating bat)
Lineage: Eukaryota; Metazoa; Chordata; Mammalia; Chiroptera; Phyllostomidae
Exons: 3
Source: RefSeq, a predicted model, not a curated record
GGGGCCGACCGUUCGCGUGGGAAACGAAAGGCAUUGUUGUUUUUUUAAGGGGGCAGGUCCAAAACCGAAAAGGAAAAAGAAACCGAAACUCCUUUAGAAAACCAGGAGAUGGAAAGUGUUCAGGUUGACGGUCGGUGCGGAGAAAGUGUCCUUUGGCCCCGGGCGGGAGUGACCAUUUGAACUCCUGAAUCAAAUGGCCUUCGAAGAAACACUGAAUUUCUUUUAGAAAGAGCUCUGACAAGGCUGGACUUGCAGAGUUUCCCGGAACUAUUGAGUACGGAUUAGUAUUUCUAGCACAAUGUUGAAGCACUCAGAAGACAUCCUUGCCUUGUUCCCAACUUUAGUAGAAAAGCAAUAUCUUUCACCCGGGCCUGACCCACAAACUGCACUUCAGGGAGAAGCCUGCACUGAACUAACCUGCCUCUGCACUGAACUGCCUACCUACUGUGUUUUGGCCAUCUGAGCCAGACCUUAUGAAGGAGUUCCUGGAAUCCCAUCUCAAGCAAUAGGACUGAGGUUUUCCACAUCCAAUCAGAGCCACCACAACUAUAUCCCUAUCAACAUCUUUACCAACCAAUCAGGACAGUGCCUUUUGAACCAUUCAAACUGCAAGGAUUUGGAGUCCUCAUGUGCAUAAGGAUGGAGUAAUCAGGGACCAGGGGCUGGGACUUCUGUCUAUAUAAGCCACCUCCCAUAUGGCUCAGAGAGGGUGCUUUCCCUUUCCACUGAAGACAGUGUUUCCCUGGUUGAGUUGAAACACUGAAGAUGUUUCACUGGAGCAGAGUGGAGCAGACCAGCACAGCACAAAGCUGACCGGCAAGGGGCAAAGCAGAGCAGAGUGGCCAGAGAGAGGCCUGGCCCCAAGGGCUGCCUCACAGCUGUGCUGUGUUCACAGUUGAGCUGAUUUGCACCAAAUAAAGUUCCCUUCACCACACCCCAAACUGGGAAUUCCUGUUGGCAUUGAACUGGCACCAAUGACAGUCAGUUGAGAGUACUCACAGAAAACUGUAGGUUCAGUGCUUCUCCCAUGUCAUCAGCCUGAUAAUUUAGAACUUCUU